AUGAUCUUUCAUAUGUUUGACCAUAUAAGUCAUUGAUCCAUUAUCAUGAAUUGCUAGCAAUUUAAAGAAUUCAAACUUUUGUUAAAAGCAUUGAUUAGAAUAUAUUAUACAAUUAUCAAGUAUUAAAAAAGUCUUCUAAUGUCUAUUCUUGCUUAGCAUGGUUCCAAACUUGUAUGUCUUUUUCCCAUGAGGUUUCCCUCUACCUUUGUAUAUUUGACAAUAAAGCAUUUAUUUAAAAAAAAGAAAGCUGGUGAUUUUUUAGAAUUCUGUACAGUUCAUUAAUUACAUUUCUAUCAAUGAUUUGUAGAAAACAUUAAGGUUUUAAAAACCCUUCUAAAAAUUCUAGAAGACAGAGAGGGAGAGGCCCCACUUUUUGAAAUGGGUCCUCCCCAAAAAAAAAAACCCACAGAUGACAGAGAUCACAGAUUUUCUGACAGCGAAGAUGAAGUAGUAACUCUUCUUCUUCAAGAAAAUAUAGAUCAAUGAAGACACAAAAUCAAGAGCUUCAAGAAGAGCUAGAGAAAUGCACAAACAAGGAGUCGAGCCAGGUCCAGUCAAUAAUAUGGUGAUUUUGUCUGCGAGGCCCGAAGAGAGGAAACUUGCUGAAGGAUUAAGUCCUUCAAGUGGCAGAAAUUUAAAAAGACUUUGCCAGUUCUACAGCCCCUUUGGUCACCACAAUUGGGAUGUCGAGUUAGGAUUUUCGGGUGGAUUCUGCCUUCGGAAAAAUUCAAAUUGGAAGUGUCCUGUCAUACCAACAGCCAGCUGCAACAAACCACAACAUUGUUCCUAAUCGUGAUGCCCCACCAACACCACCACUGCCACUAGAUGGUUACAGCCACCUGUCUGCUUGUUUGUUCAUAAUAAUCAGGAACAACUUCACAUGAGGUCAUUGACCGUAACUUCAGAAAUGGCUCACUAUGUUGAGCAAGCCACCAGAUAUCAGAGUGCAUGUCUUGAUUGGCAUUCUGUUAGGAAAAUCCGGAUAACAUCGUCACGCUUUAGUAAGAUGUCUGUCAUGUGCGUGGCCAGACCUCAGCUGAACACCUGGCCUAAAGAAUGCACAAAAUAACUCGCCAGACAGCCGACAUGAAGCGAGGACUUCAAAUGGAGUCUGAAACAGUUAUGGAGUACUGCUUCCUCCGAGAGGUAAAUUACCAGCCAUGUGGAUUUUUAAUUCACCCUGAUGCUCCUUGGCUGGGGUCCCCUCCAGAUGGGAUCAUUUUUGACCACAACGAGCACCAUGUUUUAGGCCUUCUAUAAAUAAAAUGUCCCAACGUCAAAAGUUUUGUUGACUGUUCUUACCUCAAAUUUCACAAUGGCACACCAGAACUGAAACAGCAACAUGCCUACA
Molecule: long non-coding RNA, 1351 nt
Filed under: Danio rerio (zebrafish)
Lineage: Eukaryota; Metazoa; Chordata; Actinopteri; Cypriniformes; Danionidae
Description: lncRNA (ENSDARG00000117713.1)
Source: RNAcentral